UACGUAGGGGGCAAGCGUUGUCCGGAUUUAUUGGGCGUAAAGAGCGUGUAGGCGGCUUCACAGGUCUGCUGUGAAAACUCGAGGCUCAACCUCGAGCUGUCGGUGGAAACCGUGGGGCUAGAGUCCGGAAGAGGAGAGUGGAAUUCCCGGUGUAGCGGUGAAAUGCGCAGAUAUCGGGAGGAACACCAGUGGCGGAGGCGGCUCACUGGCCCGUAACUGACGCUCAUGCACGACAGCGUGGGGAUCAAACAGG
This 253-nucleotide ribosomal RNA is filed under the name uncultured bacterium. RNAcentral describes it as "partial 16S ribosomal RNA". It matches the Rfam family "Bacterial small subunit ribosomal RNA", at positions 524 to 776 of the family's 1533-position model. The record is from RNAcentral.